Molecule: transfer RNA, 68 nt
Filed under: Marmota monax (woodchuck)
Lineage: Eukaryota; Metazoa; Chordata; Mammalia; Rodentia; Sciuridae
Description: tRNA.Ala
Source: RNAcentral
GGAUUGUGGCUCAGCGGUAGAGCGCUCGCCUAGCACAUGCGAGGCCCUGGGUUCCAUCCUCAGCACCA